GACGAACGCUGGCGGCGUGCCUAAUACAUGCAAGUAGAACGCAGUUGCGAACGGGUGAGUAACGCGUAGGUAACCUGCCUAAUAGCGGGGGUUAACUAUUGGAAACGAUAGCUAAUACCGCAUACUGUGAGAUGGAGCUUCGUUGUAUUAGUUAGUUGGUGAGGAAAAGGCUCACCAAGGCGACGAUACCUAGCCGCCCUGAGAGGGUGAUAGGCCACACUGGGACUGAGACACGGCCCAGACUCCUACGGGAGGCAGCAGUGGGGAAUUUUGGACAAGGGGCGAAACCCUGAUCCAGCCAUCCCGCGUGUGCGAUGAAGGCCUUCGGGUUGUAAAGCACUUUUGGCAGGAAAGCGGUACCUGCAGAAUAAGCACCGGCUAACUCCGUGCCAGCAGCCGCGGUAAUAC
Molecule: ribosomal RNA, 408 nt
Filed under: uncultured bacterium
Lineage: Bacteria
Description: partial 16S ribosomal RNA
Rfam family: Bacterial small subunit ribosomal RNA
Source: RNAcentral